UUUACUAUACCAAGAAUUACGCACAAGACCUGAAACAAAACCAAUCAAGGCGUAUAUGGUGAAUGAGUACAAACUCGGCAUGAUCCAUUGAAUCAACAUUGGUUAAAGAUGAAGUUGUGAAUUGCUAUCACGACCGAGAUGAGAAUGGUGCAAAUUGUGGCUCGCCAAUUUUCCAAUAAUAAGAAUAAAUUUUGUCCGGUAUACCGGAUUAACUCCCGGUUUGAUCCUGCCGGCGGCUACUGCUAUCAGGUUUCGACUAAGCCAUGCGAGUCAAGGGGUCGUAAGACACCGGCGUACUGCUCAGUAACACGCGGACAAUCUACCCCCAGGUGGGGCACAACCUCGGGAAACUGAGGCUAAUUCCCCAUAGUUGCCAUAUGCUGGAAUGCUUUGGCGAUGAAAGAAUUUCGCCUGAGGAUGAGUCUGCGACCUAUCAGGUUGUAUGUGG
This 448-nucleotide ribosomal RNA is filed under the name uncultured archaeon. RNAcentral's name for it is "partial 16S ribosomal RNA". The stretch from base 213 to 448 matches the Rfam family "Archaeal small subunit ribosomal RNA", at positions 1 to 239 of the family's 1478-position model. The record is from RNAcentral.